UACGGAGGAUGCGAGCGUUAUCCGGAUUUAUUGGGUCUAAAGGGUGCGUAGGCGGGCUGUUAAGUCAGCGGUCAAAUGUCGGGGCUCAACCCCGGCCUGCCGUUGAAACUGGUGGCCUCGAGUGGGCGAGAAGUAUGCGGAAUGCGUGGUGUAGCGGUGAAAUGCAUAGAUAUCACGCAGAACCCCGAUUGCGAAGGCAGCCUUCCGGCGCCCUACUGACGCUGAGGCACGAAAGUGCGGGGAUCGAACAGG
This 252-nucleotide ribosomal RNA is filed under the name uncultured bacterium. RNAcentral describes it as "partial 16S ribosomal RNA". It matches the Rfam family "Bacterial small subunit ribosomal RNA", at positions 524 to 776 of the family's 1533-position model. The record is from RNAcentral.